Molecule: non-coding RNA, 324 nt
Organism: Cinara cedri
Lineage: Eukaryota; Metazoa; Arthropoda; Insecta; Hemiptera; Aphididae
Source: the annotation of a GenBank genome assembly
GUUCCAAAGAGCAGCUUGUGUCCUAAAACCUAAGUGAUAAUUUAAAAUCUAAAACUUUUAGUCUUUGAAAAAUCACAUCUGAUAGAACCAAAUAGGGGAGAAAGUGAAAAAUUCUACAUUAGAUCAAAUUUUGAAAUGGAAAAGUCGUGUGGAAGAGAUAAUUCACAAAAACCAUAUUAUAAACGAAAUUAUAGUGUAACAUAAUUUUGACUAAUAAUAUCCAUAUUUAUUGUAUUAUAAUAUUAUGUGACCUGUAUAUAACGUAUAAUCGAAUCAACAAACGUUUAUUUGUUUACCUCUCAUUUAUACACAAUAUUAUAUAAU